CCUCUCUCUCUCUCUCUCUCUCUCUUAUCCUUUUCUCCGUUCCCCGCCCUCUAGCCAUUUCUUCCUCGCGCAUUCGGCCAGGCUGUUGGCGACGAGCCAGUCGGCGAUUAGAUGACCGUGUGCGAUGCCGGGGAGAGGAGGCGUAGGCGGCGGAGACGAGGAGCGGGAGGAGGCAUGCGGCGAUGCCGUGGAUCUUCGACGGUGGCGGACGGAGGUAGUACUCGGCGGCGAUGCUGGUGCGCAGCGGCGUGUUGACGGUGGCGGAGAUAGCCUCGCGCGCGCGGUGGUUGCCGUUCACCGUGGCCGAGGUGCUGGGUGGUGGAGAUUUGUGGGCUCGUCGUCCCCGCCGGCCGUCGCGCCGCCGCCGGUCGAAGAGGCCGCCUCCCGCAUGCCCUCCGCUUGAAGCCAUCGAUGCGUCUAGAGGAGCCAUCGAUGCAUGGAGCCAUCAGGCUGCCCGUCGAUGCGUGGAGCCAUCAGGCUACACGAGGAGCCAUCAGGCUGCCCGUUGCUGCGUCUAGAGGAGCAGAGGCGCUCUGCGGCUGCCACACGAGGAGCGUCAUGGAAGGGUCCGCGGUGGCCGAGCAUGGAGGAGCACCGGUGCGUCUACGUCGUCCUCGCUGUUUCCUGCUCCGUCGCCGCACAUGGAAGAGCACGCGUCAUCAGUCCUUCGUCGACCGGGAUGAAUCUUCGUUCCGACAUACGAAAUCUCGUUUUAGUAGAGGUCUUUUGCACUUGCACAUAAAGGCUCACAGUGCAUGCCAUGGCCUCCAACCGCCCAAUCUCCUGCAAAAUCGUAGUCUACCAGUGUAGGCCUUCAUCCAUAUUGUAUGGUCUAAAAAGGAAAUUUCUUGUGUUACACCACGCAUGUGAGAUCAAUAUUGAUGUUACAAACACUUGAUACUCAGGCAUCUGGGAGGUUCUGGAGUGCACCAAUAUUUUGUGGCC
Molecule: long non-coding RNA, 945 nt
Organism: Triticum aestivum (bread wheat)
Lineage: Eukaryota; Viridiplantae; Streptophyta; Magnoliopsida; Poales; Poaceae
Exons: 2
Source: RefSeq, a predicted model, not a curated record